AAAUGCUUCAUGUAUGAAAUAUUUUUGUUCAUGAUCUCCAUUAUGUACAGCCACAUCUGGCUGGUGUUAACAUGAAAGAGGUGACGGAUGUUGAGUGUUCAAGAUCCUCCAAGAGAUUUAGAUGGAUUACUCUGAGUGGAAACAAAAAGAGGAAUAAAUUUGUGGAGGCAAUGAUAUUUGGAAAAUUAUUGCUCUCUGAGGCACAUCUCCAGACUUUGAUUUGGCUGAAGUAACUUCUACCACAGAGCUGUGGGCAUGCCUGGGAUUGAGAAACACAGUUAAAAGACUCCCAGUUGCUUCUUGCCUUUUGAAAACUUCUGAAAACCAUCCCUUCAGACCCCAGAAUUGUACCCAUCUCAACCAAGACUUUGCUUGAAUGUUUACAUUUUCUGCUUCCUAUUCUACCUAUCACUGUUUAGCAUUCACCUUUUGUUAAAAUUUAGGAGUGUCAGGAUUG
This 457-nucleotide long non-coding RNA is filed under the name Lynx canadensis (Canada lynx). RNAcentral describes it as "lncRNA (ENSLCNG00005011934.1)". The record is from RNAcentral. Lineage: Eukaryota; Metazoa; Chordata; Mammalia; Carnivora; Felidae.